Long non-coding RNA from Homo sapiens (human), 560 nucleotides. Ensembl annotates it as SDHA pseudogene 1. Its record names the gene SDHAP1. Lineage: Eukaryota; Metazoa; Chordata; Mammalia; Primates; Hominidae. The record is from Ensembl.
AGAGGCUGUGGCCCUGAGAAAGAUCACGUCUACCUGCAGCUGCACCACCUACCUCCAGAGCAGCUGGCCAUGCCCUUGCCCGGCAUUUCAGAGACAGCCAUGAUCUUCGCUGGUGUGGACGUCACGAAGGAGCCGAUCCCUGUCCUCCCCACCGUGCAUUAUAACAUGGACGGCAUUCCCACCAGCUACGAGGGGCAGGUCCUGAGGCACGGGAAUGGCCAGGAUCAGAUUGUGCCCGGCCUGUACGCCUGUGGGGAGGCCGCCUGUGCCUCUGCACAUGGUGUCAACCGCCUCGGGGCAAACUCGCUAUUGGACCUGGUUGUCUGGUCAGGCAUGUGCCCUGAGCAUCGCAGAGUCGUGCAGGCCUGGAGAUAAAGUCCCUCCAAUUAAACCAAAUGCUGGGGAAGAAUCUGUCACGAAUGUUGACAAAUUGAGAUUUGCUGAUGGAAGAAGCAUAAGAACAUCGGAACUGCGACUCAGCAUGCAGAAGGUAAGAGCCUGGACUCGCUCUGGAGUGAGCAGGCUGGCUGCAUACCUGGCCCUGCACUGGUUUUGUUUUU